Molecule: ribosomal RNA, 497 nt
Filed under: uncultured bacterium
Lineage: Bacteria
Description: partial 16S ribosomal RNA
Rfam family: Bacterial small subunit ribosomal RNA
Source: RNAcentral
GAUGAACGCUGGCGGCGUGCCUAAUACAUGCAAGUCGAGCGAACAGACGAGGAGCUUGCACCUCUGACGUUAGCGGCGGACGGGUGAGUAACACGUGGAUAACCUACCUAUAAGACUGGGAUAACUUCGGGAAACCGGUGCUAAUACCGCAUAAUAUAUUUAACCGCAUGGUUCAAUAGUGAAAGACGCUUUUGCUGUCACCUAUAGAUGGAUCCGCGCCGCAUUAGCUAGUUGGUAAGGUAACGGCUUACAAAGGCAACGAUGCGUAGCCGACCUGAGAGGGUGAUCGGCCACACUGGAACGGAGACACGGUCCAGACUCCUACGGGAGGCAGCAGUAGGGAAUCUUGCGCAAUGGGCGAAAGCCUGACGGAGCAACGCCGCGUGGGUGAUGAAGGUCUUCGGAUCGUAAAACUCUGUUAUUAGGGAAGAACAAAUGUGUAAGUAACUAUGCACGUAUUGACGGUACCUAAUCAGAAAGCCACGGCUAACUACGUG